Molecule: long non-coding RNA, 742 nt
Filed under: Coturnix japonica (Japanese quail)
Lineage: Eukaryota; Metazoa; Chordata; Aves; Galliformes; Phasianidae
Description: lncRNA (ENSCJPG00005009638.1)
Source: RNAcentral
AUGAAUCCCCUCAGCUGUGUGAGAGUCAUUCCUGAACAUGUCCUUGGGGCUGUGAUAUUUCAAGGGGAAAAACAGUUGUGUCAUACACUUCACAAAAUGGCUUUCAAGAAAACAACAGUUCCACUACUUUCCCACUUUCUAAUAUUCACCAGCCCUCUAACACCAAAAUACUGCGGCAGUGAAAUCUCUGAGGAAUACAGAAAAGCUGACAUUUGUAAAUGAGAUUUUUGUGGUUGCUUCUAUGCUAAUAUGCCUGAUAAUCCCAUUGUAUUUUGCAGUAACACAAUAAUACACUGUAAAUAGGUGAAGUGAAAUCACCACUGCUGUGUACAGGCUCAAAAGGGCUUGAUACAGUGCCUGAGUGCAUUGGUGCAGCUACAAUAUUUCGAGCCAACUGGCAUACCAAAUCCUCUAGCUGCCCAACAGAUGUCCAUAGCAUGAGCCAUCUCUACAAGCAGCAAGUAUUCUCUAAUGUAAAGCCAUUCUACCUUCACACAGGAAGCCAAAACACCAAGCUAAGUGAAUUUGAUGUUCAUUCAGUUAACAAGCUUAAAUUGCCCUAUUGAAGUUGUGUUGAUUUAUUGCCAAAAUCAUGCUUCUGCAAUCAUAGGUAAAUAACACUGUAGUAUUUAAGUACAGGUAGACUGAAGUAUCCUUAAUAUUGCCACACUGUUAAUGUAUUGUCUACGAGCAUUUUAUUUGUAACAAUAAAAUCUUUAAGCUCCAAUAAAAGUAAAGUUCU